This is a non-coding RNA of Acinetobacter baumannii Naval-81, 174 nucleotides long. NCBI's taxonomy places the organism in Bacteria, Pseudomonadati, Pseudomonadota, Gammaproteobacteria, Moraxellales, Moraxellaceae. The record is from Rfam.
CCCAUGCAGUUCAUCGCGCAUGGAUGGGAUAUGCAGGAAAUACAUACCAGAUUGGGAGUGAUGCCCCGCCAUUAAAAUAGAUCUGAAAGCUGAAACGUAAAAUACUGUGCCCAUCCAGUGAUUUUAUAAAGUAAGUGAGUAGCGGUAGGCCACAGUACUGUUAUAAAGCUGUGG